This 253-nucleotide ribosomal RNA is filed under the name uncultured bacterium. Its description in RNAcentral is "partial 16S ribosomal RNA". It matches the Rfam family "Bacterial small subunit ribosomal RNA", at positions 524 to 776 of the family's 1533-position model. The record is from RNAcentral.
UACAGAGGUCCCAAGCGUUGUUCGGAUUCACUGGGCGUAAGGGGUGCGUAGGCGGUCGGGUAAGUCUGAUGUGAAAUCUCACAGCUUAACUGUGAAACUGCAUUGGAUACUAUCCGGCUAGAGGAAUGGAGGGGAGACUGGAAUACUUGGUGUAGCGGUGGAAUGCGCAGAUAUCAGGAGGAACACCAAUAGCGAAGGCAGCUCGCUGGGACGUUACUGACACUGAGGCGCGAAAGCGUGGGGAGCGAACAGG